AUCCCCAAUAAGCCGAAAUGUGAAAUGGUUUCCGCUCGCAGAGGAGCUCGCGUCCGAUUAGUUAGUUGGUGGGGUAAGAGCCUACCAAGGCAGCGAUCGGUAGCUGGUCUGAGAGGAUGAGCAGCCACACUGUGACUGAGACACGGUCCAGACUCCUACGGGAGGCAGCAGUGGGGAAUUUUCCGCAAUGGGCGCAAGCCUGACGGAGCAACGCCGCGUGUGGGAAGAAGGCUCUUGGGCUGUCAACCACUUUUCUCAGGGAAGAAGUCCUGACGGUACCUGAGGAAUCAGCCUCGGCUAACUCCGUGCCAGCAGCCGCGGUAAUACGGAGGAGGCAAGCGUUAUCCGGAAUUAUUGGGCGUAAAGCGUCCGCAGGGGGCACUUCAAGUCUGCUGUCAAAGGUCGGAGCUUAACUCCGGUUCGGCAGUGGAAACUGGAGCGCUAGAGGGCGACAGGGGUAGAGGGAAUUCCCAGUGUAGCGGUGAAAUGCGUAGAGAUUGGGAAGAACACCGGUGGCGAAAGCGCUCUACUGGGUCGCACCUGACCCUCAGGGACGAAAGCUAAGGUAGCGAAAGGGAUUAGAUACCCCUGUAGUCUUAGCCGUAAACGAUGGAUACUAGGCGUGGUUUGUAUCGACCCAAGCAGUGCCGAAGCUAACGCGUUAAGUAUCCCGCCUGGGGAGUACGCACGCAAGUGUGAAACUCAAAGGAAUUGACGGGGGCCCGCACAAGCGGUGGAGGAUGUGGUUUAAUUCGAUGCAACGCGAAGAACCUUACCAGGGCUUGACAUCCCGCGAAUCUCGCUGAAAGGCGAGAGUGCCUUCGGGAGCGCGGAGACAGAUGGUGCAUGGCUGUCGUCAGCUCGCGUCGUGAGAUGUUGGGU
This 882-nucleotide ribosomal RNA is filed under the name uncultured organism. Its description in RNAcentral is "bacterial SSU rRNA". It matches the Rfam family "Bacterial small subunit ribosomal RNA", at positions 166 to 1080 of the family's 1533-position model. The record is from RNAcentral.